UCUGCUGUGUCAGUUGAAGUUUGAGG
This 26-nucleotide non-coding RNA is filed under the name Homo sapiens (human). Lineage: Eukaryota; Metazoa; Chordata; Mammalia; Primates; Hominidae. The record is from RNAcentral.